UCUCAUGAUAUGACCAUCUGGAGGUAAGAAGCACUUUGUUUUGUGAAAUAAAGUGCUUCCUUUCAGAGGGUUACUCUUUUGAGA
RNAcentral lists this microRNA precursor (84 nucleotides) under Rhinopithecus bieti (black snub-nosed monkey). RNAcentral describes it as "miRNA (ENSRBIG00000016981.1)". It matches the Rfam family "mir-515 microRNA precursor family". Lineage: Eukaryota; Metazoa; Chordata; Mammalia; Primates; Cercopithecidae. The record is from RNAcentral.